Sinocyclocheilus grahami is the source of this 231-nucleotide long non-coding RNA. RefSeq lists it as uncharacterized. The transcript is spliced from 2 exons. The record is from RefSeq and is a predicted model, not a curated record. NCBI's taxonomy places the organism in Eukaryota, Metazoa, Chordata, Actinopteri, Cypriniformes, Cyprinidae.
AACAUCAACCAGAAUGAUCUCGCAAAGCACCUUGAUGUGAAACUUCAGAAAGUGAGUUCUAGUUGAUGAGGAAGAGUUCAGCAGCAACAAUCGCAUCUACCGUAACACAGCCACAAAAAUCAAAUCAAAGAAACCUAAUAUGCUACUGCCUGAUGAGAUGUUACAAUUUUUUGAUUGUUCAAUAUGGGUGACAUUUUAUUGCUUGAAUUAUUUGGCGUUGGAUGUUGAAAU